This 1875-nucleotide ribosomal RNA is filed under the name Triticum aestivum (bread wheat). RNAcentral's name for it is "partial small subunit ribosomal RNA". The record is from RNAcentral. Lineage: Eukaryota; Viridiplantae; Streptophyta; Magnoliopsida; Poales; Poaceae.
AUGGACGGUGGCUGGACCGAGGUCUCCUCGCGGAAAAACCGCAAGCCCUCCCAAGAUCCGGCGGCUCCUCGCGCGUCGCGCACCUCACACCGCUCGGACCGGCGGCCGGACUUCAAUGCGGUGGGUAGCCGUGAGGCCUUCUUAAGCAAAUUCCGGGGCCGCUGCUUCCGCUGUCUCAGCAAGCGCCACCGCCGGAAAGACUGUAGAGACCCCAUUCGCUGCGUGCUCUGCAAGCUCCAAGGCCACCUUGCCCGCGAGUGCCCCCAAAAUCCUCGCAAUGGUCGCGGCGGAGCUGCUUCCUCUAGGCUAGGCCCCCUCCCUGCUCACGCUCCCGUCCACAGCCGCCUCCACUUUCCCACCCCGCCGCCCCCGCCGCCCUCGCGCCCUCUUGCUAUGGCACCCCCGGCUGACCUGAGCUUGGUCGAUCCAGCUCGCCGCCCCCGCGCUAGCCACAAAGUUGGUGUGUCCACUCCCGCCAUUGAGCAGAGCAUCUUCUUCCUGCGCCGCCACGCCAUCACGCUGCGCGCUUCUGACGGCGUUUGCGCCACCUCGCCAAUGGCGGUGGGCCGUGCUCUGGAGGCGCAGCUCUGUGUCCCGCCGCACCAUCUGCGCGUGACGGCGCACAACCCAGAAGACUUCUUCGUCAUCUUCACGCAGCUGGCCCACCACGACAACACGGUCCGCCGUGGCUCCCUGCGUGUCGACGGCGCCAACUUCGCCAUCGCGCCGUGGGGGGAGAAUGACCAUGUUGGCCACGGCACCUUCAACCUCCACGUGCGCUGCAUCAUCGAGCAUCUACCUCAACAGUACUGGACGCUGGAAGGCGUCCAAGAAGUCUUUGGCGACAAGGUGCUCGUGGAUCGGCUCGACAGCCGCACCCUGGAGCGUGACCACACCAAGACGUUCGCUUGUUGGGUGUGGGUUUGGUACAUGUCGUUCAUCCCCACCCGGCACACGUACUGGAAGCUGCCCCAGGGCGCCGGUCGGGUGGAGGAGUGGACGGGUUCUCGCCGCCGGACCGCCACGUCGCCCUCCCGCCCGGCGCGGAGCGCUACCACUUGCUCAUCCACGUCGACCGAGUCGAGGAAUGGUCCCCCCGCUCCCCCAAGUCGUCGCACUCUGCUCAAAGCGGCCUACCCUCCUCCGACUCCGACAACGACGACGAUCUGCCCCGGACCAUCCCCGGCACCUGGAUCAUGCACGUCGAGGACGGCCAGCCCAUGGAGCCCCAUCGCCGUCAGCAGCACGUGCCUGUGGUGGACACGGGCUGCCGCGGCCUCCCUGGAGGCGGCCCUCGCCGCGACCACGACGGCCAGGGAGGGGGCAGCGGUCGCCGCUCCUGGAAGGACACCCUGUUGGGCUGGGGCCGCGGUCACGCUGCCCAGGCAGAUCGUGGCGAGGCCACGAGCAAGGAGCGCCAGCGUAGCUGCUCUCCUCCCUCCCGGCGCUCGAAGAAAGCAAGAGGCCAUGGACGGCAUGGUGGCCGCUCGACCUCACAGGCGUACCCGGCCAAGCAGCUGCAAGGGAAGGCCAAGCUCGCUAGCCAAGUCCACGUGCCUUCCCCUGCUGCGGCUCCGGCUGGCCCCUGCACCACUCAAGACGACGUCGCGGAGUUCUUCGCCACCGCAGAGAAGGCUCUUGCUGCUCCCACCUUGGGCGACGCCGCUGCCGCACUCCUGGAUGAGGAGAUCGCCACCGCCAUCGGGACGCCCCUGGAGUUCCACGACCGCGACAAGCCGGAGACAAGCAAGGCCGCGCCCAGGAUGCCGGACGUGUUCGGCCCCACGCUCUCGGGGCCGCGUCACGCCCCGGAGCACUUCAGCUGCCAGACCCCAUCGCGCGCCAACACGGUUGCCCUUCAGCUCGGCGUGGUGA